GUUGUAUGGUUAAGUGACUAAGCGUACACGGUGGAUGCCUGGGCAGUCAGAGGCGAUGAAGGACGUACUAACUUGCGAUAAGCGCAGAUAAGGCAGUAAGAGCCGUUUGAGUCUGCGAUUUCCGAAUGGGGAAACCCAACUGCAUAAGCAGUUACUGUUAACUGAAUACAUAGGUUAACAGAGCAAACCGGGGGAACUGAAACAUCUAAGUACCCCGAGGAGAAGAAAUCAACCGAGAUUCCGGUAGUAGCGGCGAGCGAACCUGGAUUAGCCCUUAAGCACUCGGUGAAGUAGGUGAACAAGCUGGAAAGCUUGGCGAUACAGGGUGAUAGCCCCGUAACCGACGCUUCAUCGAGCGUGAAAUCGAGUAGGGCGGGACACGUGAUAUCCUGUCUGAAUAUGGGGGGACCAUCCUCCAAGGCUAAAUACUCCUGACUGACCGAUAGUGAACCAGUACCGUGAGGGAAAGGCGAAAAGAACCCCUGUGAGGGGAGUGAAAUAGAACCUGAAACCGUGUACGUACAAGCAGUAGGAGCACCUUCGUGGUGUGACUGCGUACCUUUUGUAUAAUGGGUCAGCGACUUAUAUUCAGUGGCAAGGUUAACCGUAUAGGGGAGCCGUAGCGAAAGCGAGUCUUAACUGGGCGCUCAGUCUCUGGAUAUAGACCCGAAACCGGGUGAUCUAGCCAUGGGCAGGUUGAAGGUUGAGUAACAUCAACUGGAGGACCGAACCGACUAAUGUUGAAAAAUUAGCGGAUGACUUGUGGCUAGGGGUGAAAGGCCAAUCAAACUCGGAGAUAGCUGGUUCUCCCCGAAAGCUAUUUAGGUAGCGCCUCGGACGAAUACUACUGGGGGUAGAGCACUGUUAAGGCUAGGGGGUCAUCCCGACUUACCAACCCUUUGCAAACUCCGAAUACCAGUAAGUACUAUCCGGGAGACACACGGCGGGUGCUAACGUCCGUCGUGGAGAGGGAAACAACCCAGACCGCCAGCUAAGGUCCCAAAGUAUUGCUAAGUGGGAAACGAUGUGGGAAGGCUCAGACAGCUAGGAUGUUGGCUUAGAAGCAGCCAUCAUUUAAAGAAAGCGUAAUAGCUCACUAGUCGAGUCGGCCUGCGCGGAAGAUGUAACGGGGCUAAGCAAUACACCGAA
Molecule: ribosomal RNA, 1149 nt
Filed under: Vibrio cholerae
Lineage: Bacteria; Pseudomonadati; Pseudomonadota; Gammaproteobacteria; Vibrionales; Vibrionaceae
Description: partial 23S ribosomal RNA
Rfam family: Bacterial large subunit ribosomal RNA
Source: RNAcentral